Molecule: long non-coding RNA, 448 nt
Organism: Gavialis gangeticus (Gharial)
Lineage: Eukaryota; Metazoa; Chordata; Crocodylia; Gavialidae
Exons: 4
Source: RefSeq, a predicted model, not a curated record
GUCACAGAGAAUUCAACUUGGGGUCACGAGAGGUCAACUCCCCCCCACUAAUUAGGUGAAAGGUCACCAACUUAUUUUUUUGGGAAUCCAGGGGUCACAGAGAAUUCAACUUGGGGUCACGAGAGGUCAACUCCCCCCCACUAAUUAGGUGAAAGGUCACCAACUUAUUUUUUUGGGAAUCCAGGGGUCACAGAGAAUUCAACUUGGGGUCACGAGAGGUCAAAUCCCCCCACUAAUUAGGUGAAAGGUCACCAACUUAUUUUUUGGGAAGCCAGGGGUCACAGAGAGUUCAACUUGGGGUCACGAGAGGUCAACUCCCCCCACUAAUUAGGUGAAAGGUCACCAACUUAUUUUUUUGGGAAUCCAGGGGUCACAGAGAAUUCAACUUGGGGUCACGAGAGGUCAAAUCCCCCCACUAAUUAGGUGAAAGGUCACCAACUUAGUUUUU